Camponotus floridanus (Florida carpenter ant) is the source of this 194-nucleotide long non-coding RNA. RefSeq lists it as uncharacterized. The record is from RefSeq and is a predicted model, not a curated record. Lineage: Eukaryota; Metazoa; Arthropoda; Insecta; Hymenoptera; Formicidae. The transcript has 3 exons.
GGAGGCCUAGGAGAGGCAUCGGGCUCCGGCAAAGCAACCUUCUGAUCGAUGCGAGAACCCUGAUGAUGCAACAAUCCUGAUGAUCUGAGAGGAGGAGCAGGCCUAGGAGAGGCAUCCUGCACCAGCGGAACAACCUGAUGACAACGAGCUUCGAUAACAACUCCGCUGUUGCGCAUCAGUGCCGGUGAGUGAAC